Molecule: long non-coding RNA, 854 nt
Filed under: Limulus polyphemus (Atlantic horseshoe crab)
Lineage: Eukaryota; Metazoa; Arthropoda; Merostomata; Xiphosura; Limulidae
Description: uncharacterized LOC106457561, transcript variant X5
Source: RNAcentral
UUUCGUUUUACCUUUGUGCAUUAUUCUUUUCAAAUGUUCUUUCCUUCAUGAUGUGAUCUAUAAGAAGGCCACGUGUCAAAUGGUGUAAUGUAGAAUUUUGCUAUUCACACUUUUUGUUUCGUGUCAGAAAUGUAGCACACUCAAUUGGUUGUCAGCUAUGUCAACAACUGGAGGCCAGUACAAGAAGAAAUGGAUAGUUCAGGUGUAUCCAAAGAAGCAAGAUACUCUUUAAAGCUAUUGAUUCUAUCAAUGGGUGGUGUAGUAUGUAAUUGAUUGAUUGAGUUAAUUGCCCAGCUCUACUGAAGUCAGUCCCAAGUUUCCAGUUGAUGAUAGAGAGGCAGUGAUGGUUAAAAGCUAUUAGUGACUGUGGUAAAUCUGAAGGCUUUUAACCCUAAAAACAGGGUUUCCAUAACUGCGGUGGGCACAGUACAGAUAACCCAUUGUGUAGCCAUGUGCUUAACAGCAACCAAACAAACAAACUAUUUAUAGAGAUAGUCAUUUCUCUCAUGGUACUUGGGUUGAUUAUUGAGUGAAAAGUCUUCUUGGCACUGAUCUACUGCAUAACAGUUGCAUCAUGACGUCUGAUGUCAAAAGAAAAAGUGGAUUGUGGAAGACUGCCAGUACAGGUUACUAACAAUAAAAGUAUUCAAUACUCUGAACAAUUAUUUCUGAUGUUUUGAAUUACUCCAUGUAGGUUCACCUCUAGUACUGUAUUAGAUACUAACUGGAAACUUUUUUUUUUAUAAUCAUAUGCACAAUCAACAGUUAUGUGUUGCUUAUACAGAUUUAUUGUUAUGACAAGAACUGUUCAAUUAUUUUUAUAAACCUCAAUAAAGUGUUGUUUGAAAUUGUUU